AUAGAGUAGUCAGGAUAACUCAUUAGGCUCAUAACUUGAAAAUCGUAGGUUCGAAUCCUACUUCC
RNAcentral lists this transfer RNA (65 nucleotides) under Hemiselmis tepida. It matches the Rfam family "tRNA", at positions 7 to 64 of the family's 71-position model. Rfam says of the family: Transfer RNA (tRNA) molecules are approximately 80 nucleotides in length. Their secondary structure includes four short double-helical elements and three loops (D, anti-codon, and T loops). Further hydrogen bonds mediate the characteristic L-shaped molecular structure. tRNAs have two regions of fundamental functional importance: the anti-codon, which is responsible for specific mRNA codon recognition, and the 3' end, to which the tRNAs corresponding amino acid is attached (by aminoacyl-tRNA synthetases). tRNAs cope with the degeneracy of the genetic code in two manners: having more than one tRNA (with a specific anti-codon) for a particular amino acid; and 'wobble' base-pairing, i.e. permitting non-standard base-pairing at the 3rd anti-codon position. Lineage: Eukaryota; Cryptophyceae; Cryptomonadales; Hemiselmidaceae. The record is from RNAcentral.